This is a non-coding RNA of Xylariaceae sp. FL1272, 96 nucleotides long. The record is from the annotation of a GenBank genome assembly. Lineage: Eukaryota; Fungi; Ascomycota; Sordariomycetes; Xylariales; Xylariaceae.
UCUUGAUUGGUCUAGUGGUUAGGAUACCUGCUUGUCAACGAUUCUGUCGAAUGAUUAAGUGCGCAGGUGGCCGGGGUUCGAUUCCCCGAUCGAGAG